GGGCAGUGAUGACUAAAAUUAAAUACCAUCAAACUAUGAGAGUUUCCAGAUGAAGCUCGUUGAUGCUACUUUUAAUCAUUACAUUCUGAGCCU
Small nucleolar RNA from Tripterygium wilfordii, 93 nucleotides. RefSeq annotates it as small nucleolar RNA snoR116. Lineage: Eukaryota; Viridiplantae; Streptophyta; Magnoliopsida; Celastrales; Celastraceae. The transcript has a single exon. The record is from RefSeq and is a predicted model, not a curated record.